GGCUGAAAUUCGCCUUCAUGAAGCUGGAAUUGCUAGUAAUGGCAGGUCAGCAUACUGCCGUGAAUACGUUCCCGGGCCUUGUACACACCGCCCGUCACACCAUGAGAGUUGGCAAUACCCAACGUACGUGAUCUAACCCGCAAGGGAGGAAGCGUCCUAAGGUAGGGUCAGCGAUUGGGGUGAAGUCGUAACAAGGUAUC
This 200-nucleotide ribosomal RNA is filed under the name uncultured bacterium. RNAcentral's name for it is "partial 16S ribosomal RNA". It matches the Rfam family "Bacterial small subunit ribosomal RNA", at positions 1303 to 1500 of the family's 1533-position model. The record is from RNAcentral.